RNAcentral lists this microRNA precursor (96 nucleotides) under Nicotiana attenuata. RNAcentral's name for it is "MIR6152 microRNA precursor family". It matches the Rfam family "MIR6152 microRNA precursor family". Lineage: Eukaryota; Viridiplantae; Streptophyta; Magnoliopsida; Solanales; Solanaceae. The record is from Rfam by way of RNAcentral.
UGGACAGAUUAUUGUAUUCGACUGUAUUCACGGCGUAAAGCAGGGGAUUACAUUGUUUUUAAACGGAAAGUGAAUCAAUUAACAUAAUAGACUCCU